GACGAACGCUGGCGGCGUGCUUAACACAUGCAAGUCGAACGGUAAGGCCCUUCGGGGUACGACGAGUGGCGAACGGGUGGAGUAACACGUGGGUGAUCUGCCCUGCACUUCGGGAUAAGCCUGGGAAACUGGGUCUAAUACCGGAUAGGACCAUGGACUUCACGGUUUGUGGUGGAAAGCUUUUGCGGUGUGGGAUGGGCCCGCGGCCUAUCAGCUUGUUGGUGGGGUAAUGGCCUACCAAGGCGACGACGGGUAGCCGGCCUGAGAGGGUGUCCGGCCACACUGGGACUGAGAUACGGCCCAGACUCCUACGGGAGGCAGCAGUGGGGAAGUAUUGCACAAUGGGCG
This 348-nucleotide ribosomal RNA is filed under the name uncultured bacterium. RNAcentral's name for it is "bacterial SSU rRNA". It matches the Rfam family "Bacterial small subunit ribosomal RNA", at positions 28 to 377 of the family's 1533-position model. The record is from RNAcentral.